Ictalurus furcatus (blue catfish) is the source of this 748-nucleotide long non-coding RNA. RefSeq lists it as uncharacterized. NCBI's taxonomy places the organism in Eukaryota, Metazoa, Chordata, Actinopteri, Siluriformes, Ictaluridae. The transcript is spliced from 2 exons. The record is from RefSeq and is a predicted model, not a curated record.
CCAGAGGGCCAGUGUGCAGAUGAAGACGCUGAUCAAAGUCAUGGUUGCUGCGGGUGAAGUUGCUGAGCAGCAGCACAAAGUCACAGGGCUAUAAACACUUGCAGUGCACUGAAGCAUGGACUGCCAAUGCAAAGUGGAACCUUGUGUGUGUGUGUGUGUGUGUGUGUGUGUGUGUGUGUGUGUGUGUGCACCGCAGUGUGAUGGAGGUUUUUGUACUACGGUUUCAUUAGAAUGUAUCACUGUGGUACACUUUUGGUGGAGGCACAAAACUUGUUAUUAAAACCGGUCCCACGGUGAAGCCCUCCGUGUCUCUGCUCCCUCCGUCUCCUCUGCAGCUGUCUGAGGGAUCGGCCUCGCUGCUCUGCCUGCUGUCGGGCUACUCUCCACAGGGGGCGCUGGUGAGCUGGACAGUGGACGGCUCAGAGGUGAAGGACGGGGUUCUGACCAGCGCAGAAGAACAGAAGAACGGCCGUUACAGCCGCAGCAGCACCCUGACCCUCAGCAAAGACCUCUGGGAAAAUGGGGAGCAGUUUGUCUGUACGGUCUCCCAUGACUGCGGCUAUCAUCCGGUCACGUUCAGAAAGAGUCAGUGUGAAGUCUAACAGCUCCAAGAUAGAGUCUAACACUGAGCUGCUUCUGAUCCAUCUACAAUAGAGUUUCGAUUCUACACAACGCUGACAUUUCUGUCUUUAAUCUCUUCACUGUCCUGUUGCUCUUCCUGUAGUUUUUGCUGAAAUAAAGCUGAGUU